AUGUGUUCUCACUAGUGCCAGAUAUGCCUGUUCCGUGAUAUUUUUCGGACAACUGUGUACUUUUCGUUGUUUAAACUUCAGUUGCUAGGUGGCAAUAUUUACUUUAUUAGUGAUGUGUUGAUUCGAGUUAUGUUUGGAGUCCAAGAUGUGGGUUAUGAAUGUUUACUUCUUACUGAGUUUAGAUGAGGUAAUUUGGUUGGUUGAUUUUCCGUCAGAUGUUGUGGAUUUACUGAAGUACAUAGCACUUUUUGAGGAUUGAAAGACAUUUUCUAGUCUAAAGACCACCGUUCUAGCCACUGCGAAAAUGUAGUGUUUUGGUAUCUGUUUUAGAUUGGAUGUUUCUGUAAACCAAGCAGUAGUGUUAUGCUUGUUCCUGGACUCAUAAAUUAUUUUCUGUAACUGUUUAACUAUGCCAGUUACAUUGAUAGCUAUCAUAGG
RNAcentral lists this long non-coding RNA (438 nucleotides) under Mytilus galloprovincialis (Mediterranean mussel). Lineage: Eukaryota; Metazoa; Mollusca; Bivalvia; Mytilida; Mytilidae. The record is from RNAcentral.